RNAcentral lists this ribosomal RNA (775 nucleotides) under uncultured Neocallimastigales. Its description in RNAcentral is "partial large subunit ribosomal RNA". It matches the Rfam family "Eukaryotic large subunit ribosomal RNA", at positions 24 to 635 of the family's 3401-position model. Lineage: Eukaryota; Fungi; Neocallimastigomycota; Neocallimastigomycetes; Neocallimastigales. The record is from RNAcentral.
UAUGUGAUCGUCUCUCGCAUAUCAAUAAGCGGAGGAAAAGAAACUAACAAGGAUUCCCCUAGUAACGGCGAGUGAAGCGGGAAGAGCUCAAAUUUGAAAUCUUAAAGGGUUUCCCUUUACGAAUUGUAGUUUAAAGAAGUGUUUUCUGUUGAGGUUUUGGUAAAAGUUCUUUGGAAUAGGACAUCAUAGAGGGUGAGAAUCCCGUAUUUGACCUUUACUUUCAACUUUGUGAUACACUUUCAAAGAGUCGGAUUGUUUGGGAAUGCAGUCCGAAAUGGGUGGUAAAUUUCAUCUAAAGCUAAAUAUUGGCGAGAGACCGAUAGCGAACAAGUACCGUGAGGGAAAGAUGAAAAGAACUUUGAAAAGAGAGUUAAACAGUACGUGAAAUUGUCAAAAGGGAAGCGUUUGACACCAGUGUUGUUUUUCUGAAAAUCGAAUUAAAGAACUGUUUAUGCUAAGUUGUUUAGACUUUAUCAGCUAUCUGUUUAGUUUUGAGCUUUUCUUUAAUGCACUUUUCAGUUAACAAGUCAACAUCAAUUUCUUUUGCUGUAAAAAAGCUUGAGGAAGGUGGCUUGAGAUUCGUCUUAAGUGUUUAUAGCCUCUUGCCUAUGCAGUCGGAGAGAUUGAGGUCUGCAGCGUAGAUCCUUCGGGGCUAAAUGCAUUUGUGCUAAGUUAUAGCAUUUUAUAGACAACUUGUUGACUAUGAUUUGUCUUGUAGCUUACUCGCUUAUGUUAUUUUACCUACGCUUAGGAUGUUGAUCUACAGAGCGAGAGU